CCUAGCAGCUCAAAUGGUAAAGCAUCUGCCUGCAAUGCAGGAGACGUAGGUUCAAUCUUUCCUGGG
Molecule: transfer RNA, 66 nt
Filed under: Bos taurus (domestic cattle)
Lineage: Eukaryota; Metazoa; Chordata; Mammalia; Artiodactyla; Bovidae
Also listed under: 5 other names
Rfam family: tRNA
About the family: Transfer RNA (tRNA) molecules are approximately 80 nucleotides in length. Their secondary structure includes four short double-helical elements and three loops (D, anti-codon, and T loops).
Source: Rfam by way of RNAcentral